UUUGCUGUAUUUUAGCAUGUUUUCUAUUUUCAGUGUGUGUAGAAAACUACCUCAUCUAUGGGAAGGGGAAGAUGAAGUUUCCCUUAAUACACCAAAACAGCUAAUUCCCAAGUAUUUGGAUUUCCAUUAAAGGCUAUGAAUAGAUUGCUUCCUGGAAGGAAACUAGUUCUGUCCUUAGUCAUGGGCUUGUCUAAACAGUUAGCCCCAUCAAAUUCCUUCAAUACAUGAGCAAGUUGCUGUGGUUUAUUCUUUCAGGAUAAGACUUCGUGGAGUUCCUUAUCUCCCGAAUUUGUGCCCUAGGGGGUUAACUGGGGAGAAUUCUGUGGAUGAGUCUGUGAUCAGAUGGCCUGGGUUGCUCUGUUCUUAGGCCAGUGAUGACUUUUGGCAGUGCCAUCAGUGCCAUCAGAUAACCUGACCACUAUACCAUGUCCACUGCUGGACUCUGAAUAACACAGGAUGUCCUGUGAGUCUGUCAGCAGGUGCUGUGUAGACUGCUCAUGUACCUGUCUUUCAGAAAUGUGAAGAACCUAACUGAAUUAAUGGCCCUGUGUUGGGGAGCCUGGAAGCUCUUCUCCUUUCCCUGUUGCUUCUGGCAGGUAUCUUGUGCAGAAUCUGCAGGUUUCUUGAACCCCUUAGGUGGGCUCAGCUGGCCUCUGAAAAAGGAAAAGAAGGAAAAGCUGAGGUGCUAACCAGGGUAGAGUGAGUGUUUGAGGAUCAGAACAGAAACAUAAAACCUAAUAUUAUGCAAA
Long non-coding RNA from Pipra filicauda (Wire-tailed manakin), 749 nucleotides. RefSeq lists it as uncharacterized. NCBI's taxonomy places the organism in Eukaryota, Metazoa, Chordata, Aves, Passeriformes, Pipridae. The transcript has 2 exons. The record is from RefSeq and is a predicted model, not a curated record.